This 204-nucleotide ribosomal RNA is filed under the name uncultured bacterium. RNAcentral describes it as "partial 16S ribosomal RNA". It matches the Rfam family "Bacterial small subunit ribosomal RNA", at positions 1289 to 1500 of the family's 1533-position model. The record is from RNAcentral.
CAGUUCGGACUGGAGUCUGCAACCCGACUCCACGAAGCUGGAUUCGCUAGUAAUCGCGCACCAGCCACGGCGCGGUGAAUACGUUCCCGGGCCUUGUACACACCGCCCGUCAAGCCAUGGGAGCCGGGGGUACCUGAAGUGCGUAACCGCGAGGAUCGCCCUAGGGUAAAACUGGUGACUGGGGCUAAGUCGUAACAAGGUAGC